RNAcentral lists this long non-coding RNA (566 nucleotides) under Phoenix dactylifera (date palm). Its description in RNAcentral is "long non-coding RNA (PDAC_LNC021462)". The record is from RNAcentral. Lineage: Eukaryota; Viridiplantae; Streptophyta; Magnoliopsida; Arecales; Arecaceae.
CAUCACCAGAUUCUUGCCCAAAUUAGGUAAACCAAUUCGCACAUAGCUAUCACUUUAAUUAAAAUCAAUUAGACGUUGGCUCCUAGGGACAUUCAAGCUCAAUAGGACGAAGAUCACCGAAAGUUGCACCAAUUUCACUCUGUGGCUCAGUUGAUGUCUAGGCAAGCUUUAUCCCAAGGGAGACAGUUCAUCUGUUCAAUGCAAAUGGUUUUUAAGUGGGACCUUUGCAACGCAUCGUGACCCCCCACUUACCUGGGAGCUUACCUGGUCAACUCAGUUCAUUAGACCGGAUUGGAGGCUUAGGUGCCCUCUUCAAACUAGUUAGGAGCUGUCUAGUGAUUUUAGGGCAAACAUAAGGAUUUGAAGUGUUUCUUUUAAUGCAUGCUGGACUGCACUUGACUGAUUAGAAGAAUAUUAGUGUAUGCUAGGGUGUCGCUCCAGAUCUCCUGAAUUAGUACUUUUUGAUUCUGAAAUAGAGCAUUCUAUUAGGGCCCUUCGAGCUGAAAUCCGUACCUAUAGAACCAUAGGAUCUGCUCCACCUAUCGAGAUGGCUGAAGAACAACCCA